AGUGAACGCUGGCGGUAGGCCUAACACAUGCAAGUCGAACGGCAGCACAGUAAGAGCUUGCUCUUACGGGUGGCGAGUGGCGGACGGGUGAGGAAUACAUCGGAAUCUACUUUUUCGUGGGGGAUAACGUAGGGAAACUUACGCUAAUACCGCAUACGACCUACGGGUGAAAGCAGGGGAUCUUCGGACCUUGCGCGAUUGAAUGAGCCGAUGUCGGAUUAGCUAGUUGGCGGGGUAAAGGCCCACCAAGGCGACGAUCCGUAGCUGGUCUGAGAGGAUGAUCAGCCACACUGGAACUGAGACACGGUCCAGACUCCUACGGGAGGCAGCAGUGGGGAAUAUUGGACAAGGGGCGCAAGCCUGAUCCAGCCAUACCGCGUGGGUGAAGAAGGCCUUCGGGUUGUAAAGCCCUUUUGUUGGGAAAGAAAAGCAGCAGGUUAAUACCCCGCUGUUCUGACGGGACCCAAAGAAUAAGCACCGGCUAACUUCG
Molecule: ribosomal RNA, 490 nt
Filed under: uncultured bacterium
Lineage: Bacteria
Description: partial 16S ribosomal RNA
Rfam family: Bacterial small subunit ribosomal RNA
Source: RNAcentral